GAUGAACGCGGCGGCGUGCUUAACACAUGCAAGUCGAACGAAGCUGUUGUUUGGAAACCUUCGGGUGGAAGAAUAACAGACUGAGUGGCGGACGGGUGAGUAACGCGUGGGUAACCUACCUUGCACAGGGGGACAACAGUUGGAAACGACUGCUAAUACCGCAUAAGACCACAGUACCGCAUGGUACAGGGGUAAAAACUGAGGUGGUGCAAGAUGGACCCGCGUCUGAUUAGCUAGUUGGUGGGGUAAAGGCCUACCAAGGCGACGAUCAGUAGCCGACCUGAGAGGGUGAUCGGCCACAUUGGGACUGAGACACGGCCCAAACUCCUACGGGAGGCAGCAGUGGGGAAUAUUGGACAAUGGGGGAAACCCUGAUCCAGCGACGCCGCGUGAGUGAAGAAGUAUUUCGGUAUGUAAAGCUCUAUUCAAGCAAGGGAAGAAAAUG
Molecule: ribosomal RNA, 445 nt
Filed under: Lachnospiraceae bacterium oral taxon 096
Lineage: Bacteria; Bacillati; Bacillota; Clostridia; Lachnospirales; Lachnospiraceae
Description: bacterial SSU rRNA
Rfam family: Bacterial small subunit ribosomal RNA
Source: RNAcentral